AUACGGAGGAUCCGAGCGUUAUCCGGAUUUAUUGGGUUUAAAGGGUGCGCAGGCGGCCAUUUAAGUCAGCGGUUAAAUCGUGGGGCUCAACCCCAUUCUGCCGUUGAUACUGGGUGGCUUGAUUGCGGUCGAGGUUGGCGGAAUUCGUUGUGUAGCGGUGAAAUGCAUAGAUAUGACGAAGAACACCGAUUGCGUAGGCAGCUGACCAGACCGCAAAUGACGCUCAUGCACGAAAGGGCGGGGAUCGAACAGGAUUAGAUACCCUGGUAGUCCGCACAGUAAACGAUGAAUACUUGUUUUCGGCGAUAUAAUGUCGGAGGCAAAGCGAAAGCGAUAAGUAUUCCACCUGGGGAGUACGCCGGCAACGGUGAAACUUAAAGGAAUUGACGGGG
RNAcentral lists this ribosomal RNA (392 nucleotides) under uncultured bacterium. Its description in RNAcentral is "partial 16S ribosomal RNA". It matches the Rfam family "Bacterial small subunit ribosomal RNA", at positions 523 to 918 of the family's 1533-position model. The record is from RNAcentral.